Non-coding RNA from Oryza meridionalis, 207 nucleotides. The record is from Rfam. Lineage: Eukaryota; Viridiplantae; Streptophyta; Magnoliopsida; Poales; Poaceae.
CCUCCGUCCCAAUUUAUAAAUUUCCGUGUCUAGCUUUAAUCAUCUGUCUUAUUUAAAUUUUUUUAUGAUUAGUAUUUUUAUUGUUAUUAGAUGAUAAAACAUGUAUAGUACUUUAUGCGUGACUUACGUUUUAAUUUUUUUUUCAAAAUAAUUUUAAAUAAGACGGACGAUUAAAGUUGAACACAGAAACUCAUGACUGUAGGGAGU